ACCCGGCUGGCUUAGUUGGUAGAACAUGUGACUCUUGAUCUUGGGGUCAUGGGUUCGAGCCCCAUGUUGGGAG
Molecule: transfer RNA, 73 nt
Filed under: Felis catus (domestic cat)
Lineage: Eukaryota; Metazoa; Chordata; Mammalia; Carnivora; Felidae
Also listed under: 1 other name
Rfam family: tRNA
About the family: Transfer RNA (tRNA) molecules are approximately 80 nucleotides in length. Their secondary structure includes four short double-helical elements and three loops (D, anti-codon, and T loops).
Source: Rfam by way of RNAcentral